GGUGGUUGUGGUACCAAAAGCAAGACCGACUCCAACCAAAAUAGAACUUGAAUCUAUGAAGAACAUCACUGGACCAGUUGUGAAGAAAGAAAUUCCAAAGGAGAAACCCAAACCUGAAGUGAAAGAACCUGAGGUUCCAAAGGAGAAACCCAAACCAGUCGUAAAAGAACCCGAGGUUCCAAAGGAGAAAUCCAAACCAGCUAUAAAAGAGCCUGAACCUCCCAAGGAGAAGGCCAAACCAGCUAAGAAAGAACCCGAGGUUCCAAAGGAGAAACCCAAACCAGUCGUAAAAGAAUCCAAGGUUCCAAAGGAGAAACUCAAACCAGCUAUAAAAGAACCCGAGGUUCCAAAGGAGAAACCCAAACCAGUCGUAAAAGAACCCGAUAUUCCAAAGGAGAAAUCCAAACCAGUUGUAAAAGAGCCUGAACCUCCCAAGGAGAAGGCCAAGCCAGCUAAGAAAGAACACGAGGUUCCAAAGGAGAAAGUCAAACCAGCUAUAAAAGAAACUGUGGUUCCAAAGGAGAAAGCCAAACCAGCCGUAAAAGAACCUGAGGUUCCAAAAGGUAAAGCCAAACCUGUUCCAGAAAAGAAAGAAGCUGAGCUUCCAAAGAUGAAAGCAAAGCCAGCGCCAGAAGUGAAAGAGCCUCCAAGAGAGAAGGCCAAAUCAGCUAAGAAAGAACCUGAGAUUCCAAAGGAGAAGGCCAAACCUGCUAAGAAAGACCAAGAAGCUCCGAAGGAAAAAGCCAAGGCUGCCCCAGCAGUAAAAGAGCCUGUAACUCCAAAGGAGAAGGCCAGACCACCUAAGAAAGAACCUGAGGUUUCAAAGGAGAAAAUCAAACUGGAAAGGAAGGAACCCGAGGCUCCGAAGGAAAAAGCUAAGCCUGAACCAACAAAGAAAGAAUUUGAUUCUCUCUCAAAUAUUACAAAAGCAACUCUGGGAAAGAAAGAACUAGUGGUACUGAAAGAGAGGCCAAGGCUCGCACCAGUUACAGAAGAGCCUGAAAUCCCAAAGAAGGCCAAACCUGUAAAGAAAGAGCCCGUGGCACCAGUUGAAUCUGUUGUACCAGCACCUACAAAGGAAGAACCACCCAAACCAGACGGCCUUGGUGUAGAGGAAGAGGAGGAUAUCCCCUACUUCCAGUGCUUCUUUGUAGACGAAGACGACACGCACUACCCGUUCUUCCCGUUCUCGCCGCCACAAAUCUGAGACCCUGCCAUCCACAGAUGAUCUUGAAAAGCCUGAGCCCUAUGGAAGAAGCUUGGUGGCACAUCGAGUCACAACAUUACCUUUAUCACUGGGCUGUGCGAUAGUGACCACUGCUUCGACGCGGUUCAUUCAUCAGCUGGUGUCCUUUAAUGAAACUCAAGGACUGAAAAUGACAAAUGGUGGUGACCGUCCGUACACCUCGAUAUGCUUUUAACAGACCACAGAAGCAGGAGAUACCAUCUUUUCCCCAGGUGUUGAAAAAACCUUAAACAUUUCUCUGUUAGUAUAUCAGUAAAGGUUUAGCUUACAUUUAGUUGUUACAGUACAGUUCAUGAAAGGUUAGGAUGUCAUCUUAUGUUUAAAUAAACACUUCAGCCUUGUCUUAUUUUAAUCUAUGUUUGUCUUGACAAUGGCUAAAUAGUUUCAAUUCGAAGUUGUAGAUGAAAAAAAAAAAUUCACAGUUUGUGCGGUGCACUGUUGCAUUAUAAAAUGUUUAAGUAAUUUCACACCAACAAAGUUACAGACAUGGAGGUAAGGGACCCGAGCGACCAGCAAAAGAACAAGGCUGAGUUUUCUCUGAGCCCCUCCAUGUCGUACGUUUCCUCUGCUCUGUUUCCCGACCAGACCAGGAAGGGCGGGCUGUUAUUAACCUGAAAGAGCUAUCGCAGGUACCGACCACUGCAUUACUACUACCUGACAACCCCUUUGUGGGCAUAUCUAACAGUACGUCUGUGUCUCUACACAGAUGAAAAAGUCUUAUUUCUACAUCUAAAUGCUUCUCAUUUUGACAGGAUGCUGAUUCAAAGCAUUCCAUUAUAUUAGCCGUCAGAAUGAGGUUUUCUUUGUUGUUGUCCUUUUUUUCUUUUUUAAAAAGGCCACCUUUCAAUUGACUUGAAGUUAUAUUUAACAACAUUUUUGUUCUUUUUUUUCAACAAGUAAUGGACGUUGGUGGAUGUUCAGCUUGUUAGGAUGUCAUCUUAUGUUUAAAUAAACACUUCAGCUGUUUGGCUCUACAGAUUAAGAAAAAGACACGUCUUUUAACAUAUUUUUUAAUUGUGAAGUCGCACAUGUAAGGAAGAAGUACAAAUAUUGCAUAAUUAUAUUAAUAUUUUAUAUAACUUUUUUUAUAUAGUAAUAUCUUAUAAUGAGACCUAAUAAUAGGGAUGGAUUAUUAUUUUGCCUUGUGCCUUUUUCCAAGAAUAUAUCAACGCUUAAAGUCAGGAUUACUGAUUCUGCUUAUCUUGAGAUUUUAUUGGACAACAAGAAAAUAAUUCAAUUCAAGUAAUUAUGCCUAAUUAUGGAGUUAAUUUACCAACCUUGUAACCUAUUUCUAUAUUUGUCUCAAUGAUUCUGGAAGGUUAAAAUACAGGAUCUCUUAAGUCACGCACUACCAAUCUAACACAAGCAACUAUAUAAGUAUGUAAAUGUACAAACAUUGCUUUUAUCUGAUUCUUUUUUUUCAUAGAGAUCAGAAGUCAUGUUUCAUUUCAUCCAUUGAAUCAAAGAGAUAGGAGUUCUUUUCAUUACUUGUGUUUUAGUUUGACAGAGUAAGUACGAGGUAACACUGUCAUCUCAUUUCACCCUUUCUGUUUCCCUGGACAGCAUAAUUGUGUUAUUGUUAUGGCAUAUCGACGGAAAUUAGCUUUCUGUGUCCCUGGACAGCAUCAUAGUGUUACUGUUACGGCAUAUCGACGGAAAUUUGCUUUCUGUGUCCCUGGACAGCAUCAUAGUGUUACUGUUACGGCAUAUCGACGGAAAUUUGCUUUCUGUGUCCCUGGACAGCAUCAUAGUGUUACUGUUAUGGCAUAUCAAUGGGAAUUUGCUUUCUGUGUCCCUGGACAGCAUCAUAGUGUUACUGUUACGGCAUAUCGACGGAAAUUUGCUUUCUGUGUCCCUGGACAGCAUCAUAGUGUUACUGUUAUGGCAUAUCAAUGGGAAUUUGCUUUCUGUGUUCCUGGACAGCAUCAUAGUGUUACUGUUACUGCAUAUCGAUGGGAAUUUGCUUUUGGUAGUUGUCCACCCUAAUGUCAACACAACAUUUUGUGAUUUUAGAGGGCAGCUCCCAUAAAGGGCAUAUGAGACAAGUUGACAAAUAGUAGGGACCAUACACCGAGUAUAGGACAUUGAGACGGUCACUUAUAAUGGUGCAAAACAUUGGCCAAGUAAACAAGACCCUUUGUUGUUAUUUUUUUUUAUUUUAUUUUUUUUAUUCAUUUUUAUAAGAACAGAAAUGUUUGACUGUGUUUGCCUGUUCAUGAUAGAUCAUGUUCAGUGCAAAUGUGAUAUCCUCAAGACAACCUGAACUUGACAUCAGACCAAAUCAGACCAGCGCUGUGUCAAUUUCACUGUGGGCUUUAGUUAAAAAAAAGUUUAAAAAAAAUAUGGUUGUCAAUGAAAUGUGACACUGAUGCUAAUGGUUUGUGGUCUUCAGAUUCAGGGCAGCAUUUUGAGGGUCCAUAGCAUGGUGUCAAUAUACCAACACAGUCCAUGUGUAUCUAUUCCAGGGGGCAAAGUGGGCCGCUGGCUAUCUGGCAUGCCCUCAUUCACUCACAGUUGUUUUCAACUCUGCAAGUAAAGCAUGCUAGGUAGUUGGUAGCUCAUAUUUAUGAGAAUAACUAUACACAGGUGACAUCAAGACUUUAAUGCCAUGUUAACGCCCUUGAGUUGAAGCCCUCUGUAUUAAUCUAGCAGAUUUUGUUUACACAGCUGUAUUUUGAAAGGUCAGAGGGAUAUGUUUACAUUGCCACAACAAAAUAUUUACUUACAGUACUGAAUGAAAUAUCGAGAAAAUGGUCUGAUGAUAGUGUAGUCUAUCUUGAUUAUUGUUAUAAUGGUCACUUAAAAAUAUUGUGAAAAUUUAAGUAUUAUUAGAGAGACAACAUUAUGGUGUGUGAUGUGACAAUAACUUGAUUUAUUGUUGAAGUAUUAUUGAGACGAAAGAAACGAGAGCUCUAUGAUCGACGUUGUGCAAAUUGUCUGACCAGUGGUCAACUUCAUGGUCUUGUGCUACGUCUGACAGACAUGCAGUGGAGUAUCUUAUGUCGUCAUCUCAAGUCAGGUGUCAAACAGUAGCUGAACUCUAAUAUGGCUUCUGUGCCAGUAUAGACACACUACUGAUGAAACCUUUUAAAUGAACGAGAAAUGCUACUUGGACUAUUUGAACAAGUAGCCUAGUCAGCUGCAUGAUGUGUGAUAGUUUGGCGCUUCCAAACAUACUAGCCAACUGAACUAGAAGUUCAGAGAAAUGACAUGCUGUAUAUGUAUAGUACUACUAGAAUCAGGUGUGUUUAACUGGAGUUAUGUGUUUAAUUACUUAAAAGCGUUACUUUAACCAUGUUUUCAGGACUUAUUUGAAUAUUCACUCUAAAAUAUGAAAUAUAUAAAAUAUACAUGUGCAGAAAAUGGCAUAGAAUUACAGUGAAUAACCCAAAGAUUUGUGUUUAGCAUUUUAAUUCGUAUUCUUGUGUAUGUAUGCUUUUAUGAAUAUGCAAUAUUCAACAAGAUAUAUUGGGUUAAAUAUUCAAAGGAUUUACUCAUUGUUUCACUUUAGGUAUUUAGCCUAGUCAAGAUGUUUCAGUACUGUAUUUUACAUACAAAUACAUGUACACUGCAGCUGCAACAGUAUAACAUGUUGUUGUAGUUCACAAGCCUUCUAAGGGGGUUAGUGUAAAUCCCUACUUCAGAUCUUCACAUUUUGUAAGGAGUUUCAGUAUAUCAGUCAGAUUGGUGUGAUAGCCAAUGCAUGUACAUUUUGCGAUAGCCAGUACAUGUUUUAAUGGUAAGAAUUAUGGUAACUUAACAAUAAUUGUCAAAUAAGUGCUGUAUAAGUUCAAAGGCUAUCUGGUUUCAUGAAUUGUCAUUAUUGCACUUUAUAUGGUGGUUUUAACCUGUUGCAAUGGGGCCAGUUGACUCCCCCUAACUGUACUGAUAUAUUUGAGUUUCCCCUUUUAAAAGAAAAACAUCAGAACUGCACAUAAUAUCAAUACUGGGUACAUUUGUUGAUUAAACUCAUCAAUGGAGUUAUAACUAUGUAGAAGUUUGUCAAGAAUGUUUAAUAAACUGCUUCUGUAGUGAAAAUUAUUUGUUUUCUAUUUGUGCUGGACAUAUGACAGUAUAAGUAUAAGUCAUUUUUAAAGAAAUUCAUCAGCAUUUGCUUUUAUGUUUGCCACUAGGUGUCACCAUUUCACACAAGCGUUGGCCAAAGUCUUUGGUGUCACAAUGCAAGUAUUUAAGUUUUAAAGCACGCUGAUUUCUUUACCGCCAUAAGUAAUCUCUAAUGUUUUUCGGUUAUCUUUUUUAAGUCUUACAUACAUAUUUGUUUCACAGACUUUUCAGUUGGAAAAAAUAUGUUCCUGACGUACAGCAAAUUAAAAUUCUGCACUGACAUUUAACAAUACAAUACAAAACACUACCCCAAUAUUUAUCCCACACUGGUUUAUAGUACGCUAGCUGAAAUCGUUCAACCCCUAACUCUUCAGGAAAGCCCCACAUAUGUCUGAACCCUUGCAGAGACCUCAUCAGAGUCACUACAGCCUUGGGCUGAAUCACACUAGUCCUCUACCAACCAUAAUUAAGUCCCAUGCUCCGGAACUCAGCUUCGUUUGGGGCUGACUCCUCUGUUCUAUUCUCUUAGCUGUCCAUGGGCUGUCUGUUGUUCCCAUGGAAGACAUGGAGAGAUUCCAAUCGUCCCCUUUGUCUUUUCACAGGGACACAAGCAGACACUCUUUCAGGACACUUGGCACCGAGCGUCAGUGAUGUCACACGCAAACCUCA
Long non-coding RNA from Clupea harengus (Atlantic herring), 5980 nucleotides. NCBI's taxonomy places the organism in Eukaryota, Metazoa, Chordata, Actinopteri, Clupeiformes, Clupeidae. The record is from Ensembl.